GUGUUUGCUUCGGCAGCACAUAUACUAAAAUUGGAAUGAUACAGAGAUUAGCCCCUGAUACAGAUGAUACAGAAUGAUACAGAGAUGGCCCCUGCACAAGGAUGACAUACAAAUUCGUGAAGCGUUCCAUAUCUAA
This 136-nucleotide small nuclear RNA is filed under the name Erinaceus europaeus (western European hedgehog). The record is from RNAcentral. Lineage: Eukaryota; Metazoa; Chordata; Mammalia; Eulipotyphla; Erinaceidae.